Molecule: ribosomal RNA, 769 nt
Filed under: uncultured soil bacterium
Lineage: Bacteria
Description: bacterial SSU rRNA
Rfam family: Bacterial small subunit ribosomal RNA
Source: RNAcentral
UGCAGUCGACGAGAUAGAGGAGAAAUCCAUGAGUACAGUGGCGACCGGGUGAGUAACACGUGACUAACCUACCUUCUAGUGGGGGAUAACCCCGGGAAACCGGGGCUAAUACCGCAUAACAUCUCAAGAUCAAAGCAGCAAUGCGCUGGAAGAGGGGGUCGCGGCUGAUUAGCUAGUUGGCGGGGUAACGGCCCACCAAGGCGAAGAUCGGUAUCCGGCCUGAGAGGGCGCACGGACACACUGGAACUGAAACACGGUCCAGACUCCUACGGGAGGCAGCAGUGGGGAAUUUUGCGCAAUGGGGGAAACCCUGACGCAGCAACGCCGCGUGGAGGAUGAAGCCCUUUGGGGCGUAAACUCCUUUCGACCAAGACGAUAAUGACGGUACUGGUGGAAGAANCACCGGCUAACUCUGUGCCAGCAGCCGCGGUAAUACAGAGGGUGCAAGCGUUGUUCGGAAUUAUUGGGCGUAAAGGGUGCGUAUGCGGCGCGUUAAGUCACCUGUGAAAUCUCCCGGCUUAACUGGGAGCCUGCAGGCGAAACUACCGUGCUGGAGUAUGGGAGAGGUGCGUGGGAAUUCCCGGUGUAGCGGUGAAUGCGUAGAUAUCGGGAGGAACACCUGUGGCGAAAGCGGCGCACUGGACCAUAACUGAUGCUGAUGCACGAAAGCUAGGGGAGCAAACAGGAUUAUAUACCCUGGUAGUCCUAGCCCUAAACGAUGAUUGCUUGGUGUAGCAGGUACCCAAUCCUGCUGUGCCGGCAGCUAAAC